AGGCCCCGUAAGGAAAGGGGCUCACCAAACACGAAUAUCGCCAAUAGAGAAGGAGGAGGAGCUACGAACGGUGGACUGGAGUGCCUCCCUCGGAUCCACCUACAAUCAUAACAUGAUUGUAGCGCCCCCGGCAAAAGGGACGUAAGUAUAUUUGAAUUGUACUGGCAUGUACGAACAAACUCUGUCCCAAGUAAACUCAAGCCAAAUUGCAUAUACAAGUAUAAACCGAACAACAAUGGUACAAGUACAACCAUGGAGCAACAACCAAACAUUUACAACAAAUGAUUCAAGUAGUCAUACAAAGAGAAAAUCAUUGCCCCGCAAGUUACAAACUCUCCUGUUGUCUCCUUUCACAUUUCCACAUUUAUCAUUUCAUGAUUCAUAUUCGGGCAAUCAGUUCCCCACAGGUUACAAACUCUCAUGCUGUCUCCAUUCACAAUUCCACAUUGAUCAUUUCGUGAUUUAUAUUCAUAUCAAUAGUGAUAUUGUAUCACAUUUUUCCACCCUUAUUACCUCGUCCACCCUUAUUACCUCGGCCACCCUUAUCACCCCAACGCACACCUUAUUUCACCGAGUUACGGCGCGCAACCCGACCCCGCCUGACAGUUUUCAAUUCACAACAACAAACAUCACAACAACAAAUACAAGAAUCAACUAUGGAACAUUGUUAGAGUAGAUCCACAAUAAGGGUAAUGCAAUUUCACAUCUAGCAACAAUAAUUCAAUUCCACAACCAGCAACACAAUUUCUUUAUGUUCAUUAAUUUGUACACAAUUUGGAUCAUCACAACAGUUAUUCAAAUCUAAUCACACACGUUGUUCCACAAUAUUUCUAUUUCCGCUGUUCCACAUUGUUUCCAUUUCCAUUGUUCCACAUUAUUUCCAUUGUUCCAUAUUGUUUCAAUUACAAGUUCCAAAACAUGUUACCAUGCCAUUAUACUACACCAAAACAUUUACAAUGAUUCUCACAUGAAUAUCAACUAUCAACAAUUCUACAACUAGCACAGGGCAACUUCACAAAGAUCACAGUUAGUCAUACAUACCUGGAGUUGAUUAUUCCCUUUUAAACCUCUAGUCCGAUUUGCCAAGCAAUCAAGAAAUCAAUCUAGUUCAUGAACAACACUUAGGUUUUAGAAAUUUAAANNNNNNNNNNNNNNNNNNNNNNNNNNNNNNNNNNNNNNNNNNNNNNNNNNNNNNNNNNNNNNNNNNNNNNNNNNNNNNNNNNNNNNNNNNNNNNNNNNNNNNNNNNNNNNNNNNNNNNNNNNNNNNNNNNNNNNNNNNNNNNNNNNNNNNNNNNNNNNNNNNNNNNNNNNNNNNNNNNNNNNNNNNNNNNNCCAAGAUUUUUGAGUUUUGAAGCCAUGCAUGAAGAUUUUAUGAAGAAAAUUCAAAGCAAGUGUAGGGGUUCCCUUCCCAAGCUUAAUUUCGAAAUUUGAGGGAAAUGGAUUAGGAAUUUUACCUGAGAAAUCAGUAGAGAAGUCACUACCCCAAGAAUGUCCCAAGCUUCAAUGGUUUUGAAAGAUCGAUUGAUGAAAAAUUUGCUUUCUCUCUCUAGGACCCUCUCUUCCUCUCUCUUAUUUUGUUCAAAACAUGGGUUAAAAAUGAGGAAUGGGGUAUUUUUAUUAAAAAGGGGUCGGGCUUAGAUUUUUAGAAAAAUAACUGGGCGAGCUUAAUCUGCGAUGCAACUCUGCGAUCGCAAAACAGACAUGCGGUCCGCAGAAUGGACCGUAGAAAUGGCUCAAACUUCAAACUUCUCGGGUUGGGAAUGCGGUGAAUAUGCGGUCCGCAUUUGAGUUCUAUGGUCGCAGAAUGCACCGCAGAACUAACCUUCAAAUUUCCUCGGGGACAAUAUGCGAUCACUCUGCGGUCCGCAUAUUGAUUAUGCAAUCGCAAAUUUGACCGCAUUUUCAACAUAAAAAAUUGGUUGCUCUCUAAUUCACUCUGCGGUAGGAAUGUGGUCUGCAUAGCUGAUCUGCGACCGCAUUCUGUACCGCAUUUUGACCAUUUUCUAGAAAAUUUCGAUAUCAUAUUUUUAAGUUCAAAACAGUAAAAAGGAUCUGUUCCACAUAGGUAGACUCGACUCUAUGAGCUUCUAACAUCUGAGCACUCAAUUCACGGGGCCUUACACAAGGUCGAUGGCGCAUCCAAUGCAUCAGGAUCUGGAUUAACCUCGUACUCGAGGUCCCAACAGGAGAAGUCAUCUACCAAUUCAUACAGUGCCCUUAUAUGACUAACAAUGAGGCCAAGUACGAGGCCAUAAUUGUAGGACUAAAUCUAUCUCUCAAAUACGGAGCAGGAAGAGUCGUCCUCAGAAGCAACUCAUAACUCGUUGUCAACCAAGUCACCGGGACUUUCCAAAUCAAAGAGUAUAGGCUACAAAAGUAUCAGGCAGAAAUUCAUAAACUUUUACUAGAAUUCAACAAAUGUCGACUCAAACAGAUACCUCGAGCACAAAACAUCGAGGCAGAUGGCCUCGCCAAGAUAGCAAUAGCUACAAAAAAUAUUACAAAAGAAAAUGUGGUCACCCUCCUCCACUCGUCAAUUGAGCAACUUGAGUUACACUCUGUAAAUUUCACUUGGGACUGGGGCAACAGUAUUAUAACAUAUAUGCAGGAGGGAGUACUCUCAUUAGCCAAAAAGGAAACCAAAAAGCUUCAAACGCAGGCGGCCAGGUACAUCAUCAUAAACCAUGACCUAUACAAGAACAUUUGGAGGCCCAUUAGCAAAAUUCCUAGGGCCAAACCAAACAAACGCGUCCUCGAGAAGGUACAUGAAGGCCAAUGGGGUGCCCAUGGGCACCCGAGCCCUCGUCAGAUGCCUUAUUCGAGCGGGUUAUUGUUGGCCUACAAUGAAGAAGGAAGCCGCCGACUAUGUCAAAAAGUGUGAGCAGCGCCAAAAAUACGCUUCCAUAAUACACCAAGCAGGCAAGAUCCUGCACUCGGUUACAUUGCCAUGGCCGUUGGAAAAUUGAUAUUGUCGGACACUUCCUAGCAGGGCGAGGUAAUAUACGAUUUCUUUUGGUUUUAACUGACUAUUUAUUCAAGUGUGUAGAAGUAGGGGUGUUUGCCUCAAUACGCGAACAGGAAGUUAUCACAUUCAUAUGGAGAAGCAUCAUGUGCCACUUUAGAAUCCCCAUAGAAAUCAGUUCUCACAACGGGCCCCAAUUCACCAAAAAAAAAUAGCCAAAUUCUUUGAGAAAUGGCACAUCAAGCAAAUAAUCUCCACACCAUAUCACCCUACCGGUAAUGGACAGCCCAAAUUCUCCAACAAAAAAAUACUAAACAUCUUGAAGGAAAAACUUGACGAUGCCAAGGGACUGCGGCCGGAAUUACUAUAAGAAGUGUUGUGGGCAUACCGCACUACGCCAAAAACAAGCACAUGAGAAACUCCAUAUUCACUAGUCUAUGGGUCUGACGCCAUGAUACCACUCAAGGUCGGGCGACCUAGUUGAUACUCCAAUGAAAGCGGACCAAGCAACGACGAAAACAGAAAGAAAGACCUCGACAAAGCAGAGGAAUAAAAAGACAUGUAUUACAUAAGAAUGAUAGCCCAAAAAUAUAGAGUAGAAUGGUAUUACAACAAAAAGGCCAAAGUACUGCCACUCAAAGUCGGAAACUAUGUACUCAAGGCCAAAACACAUGCGAGCAAAGAUUCAAGAGAAGGUAAACUAGGAACCAAUUGGGACGGGCCAUACAAAAUCACAGUAGCAGCAAAAAAAGGAUCAUUCCAACUAGAAACAAUGGAGGGAAAUCUACUACAAAACAAUUGAAACGUGGCCCACCUUAAAUACUUAAACUUCUUAAAAUGGACGCCCUCUAAGUCAUACUCUUUUUCCCUCGCCCGGGUUUUGUCCCAAUUGGGUUUUCUCGAUGAAGUUUUUAAUGAUGCGACGAAGGGGACAUCUUGAAGUUCAAGUAUAAUUCAUCGCCCCUCCUUCCGACUAUUUCUCCACGCUGAUGAUGAAAGGACUAGGCACACUGGAACUUCUCCAAUAUAUGUAUGGAGCAACAAAAACAUGUGAUAUUUUCCAAUGAAUGAAAUGAAGCAAUGUGUUUGCACAAAUCCACCAAGCCACUUUAUAUUUUACACUAAGCCUUGGUCGAAUAACUUCACAUUCAAUCUCGCUCAAAUUAAUUCAUAUUCGACCUCGCUCGAAUUACUUCACAUUCGAUCUCGCUAGAAUUAUGUGAUUUUCGACCUCAUCAAACCUCGACCUCAUCCGAGAUAAUUAAUACUCGACCUUAAGUCAGUCUAUGUUCGUCUCAACCAAUAUCAAACAUAUACAAACACCGAAAAUCAUGGGCUUCCCCACAUAGCAAAAAAAAGAGGAAAAGAGAAUGAGAAUCCAUAAAUACAUAGAAAAAAGGGAAUUGUUCCAUUUCAUUAUCAGAUUACAAUACUUUAUACAAAGGGCUUAGGAUGCCCUCACAAAAAUAGCAAAGCAAAAAAAACUAAGUAAAACAGCUUCACACUACAUCAUCCCCGUCAGCAUACUAAUCAUCAUACCAAGGAUCAGAGGCAAGCCUAUCUGCUGCAUCUUAUCCUCAUCCCCGCUAGGCGUACUGGGGUCGUAACCACAAAUUUCACGGGUUGCACAUGCCUUGACACGGAUGCCCUCAAGCUCUAUUUCAGAAACUUUCCGGGAAACCUUCAGAGAUUUAUACACGUCAAGUUGAGCCUCAGCAUGGACCCACAUCUCAUACAACUCCUACGGUUCAACGAGAUUGGCAGAAGUAUGAGAUUUAGAUGCUUGUGAAAUCAAGUCUCCUCGGCCCUUAAGAUAACGACUUUCUCGUUUAACCCGGACAAUUCUGCCUCCAAACCUUGGAUCCGUUCUUCCAACCUAGCCACCUUAAGCUCCGACUUCUCCUCCUCAUUAACUCGCUCGGACGUGCAAACACGGAGGGCAUCUUCUAGGGCUGCCGCUUUUACCAUAACAUCCAUUCUGCCUUUCUCGGCCCAACUCGAUUCUUCAACCUUGGCACUCAGCUCACCCAUCAGUUCGAAAACCCUUUCCUCCCACUACCUGAGUUGAGGCGUUAAGGAUGCUACCUGCGUCAGAAGGUCGGCGUUCUCAGCCAUCGCCCAUUUACUCACCUCAAUUUUGUCAUCGUUGGCCUUUAGCGCUGUCUCGAGCUCGUUUCACCUACUGAUGGUCCUCAUAAACUCAUCUUCCCUCUCCCUUAGCUUUUUAUCUUUCUUCAUCAACACAUCGUCUUUCUGUUUGAGCGUAUCACGAAGCGACUGGAAUUCACCAUCCUGGCAAAGGAAUUCGACAUGUGUUUGGUGCUUAUUACUGUACUCCUUAUACUUAGAAGUCAUCUUCUUAAAAUGGUCAUCCUCUGCUCCUCCCACCGAUCAUGCUCGAUCCCCAUGAUAAGAUUCUGACAUGCAAAAAGAGAGGAGUCAGUGUAAGCAUAUUACAUAUACAAAACAAAUCCUAACAUAGAAAAGCACUUACUCACAGUGUCAUUCCGGAUAUACCCAAUGACAAAUCUGCAUCAUUCAUCGCCUGUAGCGUCGUGUUUUCAGAAGCCAUGCACAAGGGAGCAAAAUCUGGCAACACCCUUUUUGAGUUGGCUAAAAGGUCUUAGUCCACGGGAAUGACUAUGUGCUGGAUAGGACACUCUGUCCGUACCUACACAUGAGUAUUACUCUCCAAGAAGGCCCAAAACUCCUCAGGGUUUAUGUCCGAGCCACAGUCAUCGUCCCCCGUAGGGACAACUCUACUUCCCCUUGCCGCCGAUGAUGAGCCACAUUCUAUGGCCCAUGUAAGCUCUCUGCUGCAAAGAAUCCCCUCAACCUCAGAGGGUCUCCUCUCCAUGAUGACACCUGCCGUGGAAACGACCUCUACGUCCGGUGCAAGCGCGGAUUCCGCUUCUAAAGCAAUGAAUUUUUCCGGCUUGACAUCAGAAACACUAGCCUUCCCGGUUUUCACCCCUCAUCUUUUCCUCAAUGGUGUCUCCUCGCUAUUAGAUAGCUCGUCUACGAUAUGAAAAAGAUGGGCUGGGAAGAGAUCUCGUCUCGCAUGGCAACAGUUUGAGAGGUGAAGUCCCUCGUCGGCAAAACUUGAGUUCGACCUCCUCGAGCAGACUCAGCAAUGGAAAAUUGCAUUCCAACCGACGAGAUAGCAUGGAAAAAUGCAUGCACUAGAGCUUUCGCCUUCUUGAAAACUCUCCGACCUGGAACCACAGGGAGUUAGCAUCAAAAGUGAUAGUAAAUGGCAGUAAGUCGGGAGAUGAAACACACUUACUGGACGGAGUCUUGGGACCAAAACUCUUGUAAAAGGAUGCCCGAUCGUGAAUUCCCACGGUAUGAGGUGACACGCGAGUCACUCAAUCUUCAAUGACAAAAAUAGGAGAACGUUGUCACACCUCCUUUUUACACACCUAUCCCAAGGGAUAAAGUAUAAGAAAGUUCUUCCAAUUAAAGUGACAUUAUUAGAAUUGGGAUUAUUUAUUUAUCACAAUUGCCACUUGGGAAUAGGUUUGGCUUUUGGUGUCCCAAGUCACCAGUUUAUCUUGAAUCCCAAAUCGAGGAAAAUUUUGGCUUUUUCAAGUGAUGUUUGCGAACCAGAAAUUCUGACUAAGGAAUUCUAUUAACCCAGAGGAAGGUGUUAGGCAACCCUGAAUUCUAUUGUUCUAGCACGAUCGCUUAAAUUAUCAUAAUUGGCCUAUUACCUGAUUUUCAAAAAAAUUUCAACCUAUGGUGCAAUUUUAAAUAGUUGAACUCUUUUGAUUAAUUUUUAAAGAAGAUUGAACGUCGUUUAAAUUGUGUCUUUGGACCGCAUCACAUGAAAUGCACCCGCAAUCCAAAACACAUUUUAUUUAACGUUUUAUGAUUUGAAUUUGGGUCAUAUGAAAUGCACACCCGAGUUUAAGAAGGUAAUAUUAUUGAAGAACGCUCCUAAAGCAACUAACUCAUCGUUAACUUCGCGGGAGUUCAUGGAAAUUCGCUAAACGAUGUAACUCGAUUUCUAAGGAGUUAAAAUUAAUUACAUGAGGGUUAUGGGUCAUUUAUUGAAAAUGGCACCCCUCAAAUUGGAAAUUAACCUACGGUGUAUUAUCAUACCAAGAUUUACAGGAUUAUCACAAGUAUUUUUAGCAUGAAAUCCACAAAAAAGUAAUUGAAUUGGGCUAACGCCACAAAUAUUUUAAUAUCUCUAUAGUUCAAGUUGAAGCAUGAAUAAUUGAAUCCAUUGACUAAAAGAAUAACAGCGUACAUUCGUUCCUUCAUUAAAUAUGAGUGAACCUUUGGAUGCAUCAAUGACAUUCAUGAGCAAAAUAACAUCAUUUUAAAAGCCAUGUAUCAUUCCAUGUGUACCUUCAGUUACCACAUAUAUCCAUAUCAAUUCAGAAUUAAAACAAAGGAACGGAUCCUCGGGCUCCCACAAAGUGAAUCAGAUUCAAGCAAUUCAAUAUUUUGAGUAAUUGCUAAUAAUCAAUUAUAAUUCCUAAAUCUUAUUAAACCAAAUUCCAUUAAUUACUAUCAUGCUUCAAGAAAUUGGACUAACCUAGGUCCAUUGAUUUCCACAGAAGAACACUAUUAACAGAGAACUCAUCACAAAUAAGAGUCGCCCGAAAUUUAUACACAGAAGAACCAAAUUCUUUGUCAUUUACAAUUCAAGUAAUUUCAUGGUUUCGUACUUACCUGCUAGGCGAAGGAAAUAGCUAGAUUGAACCGAAUCAAGGCUAGGAAAAUAGAAGAUCGGAGCUCCGUAACAGCAGAAUCAACAAAAUACAGCUUCAUCGUCUUUGAAAUGAGCGACGCACUCUUAAGAUAUUUCAAACUGCUAAAGUGCAAGAAACAACGCCAGAUUGUCUAAACAUGCGACAUUUGUGAUAAUCACAACACUCAUUGCAUUCUAACCGAUUAAAGCUCUAAUUUGGAAGAUUUUUCUCCGUGAGAUUCAAAUAAGAGGGAGUGAGAGAUGCGGAAGGUUGGACAGAUUUGGGGCUGGUUGGUGGCUGAUUUUUUGGGUUACUUUGGAGAUGAUGGAGAAGAUGAUAAACAGGGGAAAAGUUGCGCCCCUCUUGGAGAUGAAGGAUAUCUCCUUCAGAUCCAGGUAUUUUAUAGGUGUAAGUCUAGAUUUCAAUUUGAAGGGUAUGGGUUUUGGGCUAGGAAUGGAGAAUUGGGUCAU
Molecule: long non-coding RNA, 8135 nt
Filed under: Nicotiana benthamiana
Lineage: Eukaryota; Viridiplantae; Streptophyta; Magnoliopsida; Solanales; Solanaceae
Description: long non-coding RNA (NBEN_LNC016415)
Source: RNAcentral